CAUUACUAGAGCAAAGGAUAGACAGCGCCCGCGGAGCUCGCUCCCGGGGCCACCCUACUCCGGUAGGGUUUAGAGUCGUCGGGCCUCUCGGAGAAGCUCGGUCCUGAACUCCACCCUUGAAUAAACUACCUUUGUUGCUUUGGCGGGCCGCCUCGUGCCAGCGGCUUCGGCUGUUGAGUGCCCGCCAGAGGACCACAACUCUUGUUUUUAGUGAUGUCUGAGUACUAUAUAAUAGUUAAAACUUUCAACAACGGAUCUCUUGGUUCUGGCAUCGAUGAAGAACGCAGCGAAAUGCGAUAAGUAAUGUGAAUUGCAGAAUUCAGUGAAUCAUCGAAUCUUUGAACGCACAUUGCGCCCUCUGGUAUUCCGGGGGGCAUGCCUGUUCGAGCGUCAUUAUAACCACUCAAGCUCUCGCUUGGUAUUGGGGUUCGCGGUUUCGCGGCUCCUAAAAUCAGUGGCGGUGCCUAUCGGCUCUACGCGUAGUAAUACUCCUCGCGAUUGAGUCCGGUAGGUCUACUUGCCAGCAACCCCUAAUUUUUUAAGGUUGACCUCGGAUCAGGUAGGGAUACCCGCUGAACUUAAGCAUAUCAAUAAGCGGAGGAAAAGAAACCAACAGGGAUUACCUCAGUAACGGCGAGUGAAGCGGUAACAGCUCAAAUUUGAAAGCUGGCUCUUUUAGGGUCCGCGUUGUAAUUUGUAGAAGAUGCUUCGGGUGUGGCCCC
Molecule: ribosomal RNA, 722 nt
Filed under: fungal sp.
Lineage: Eukaryota; Fungi
Description: eukaryotic LSU rRNA
Rfam family: 5.8S ribosomal RNA (bases 240-393)
Source: RNAcentral